RNAcentral lists this ribosomal RNA (253 nucleotides) under uncultured bacterium. RNAcentral's name for it is "partial 16S ribosomal RNA". It matches the Rfam family "Bacterial small subunit ribosomal RNA", at positions 524 to 776 of the family's 1533-position model. The record is from RNAcentral.
UACAGAGGUCUCAAGCGUUGUUCGGAUUCAUUGGGCGUAAAGGGUGCGUAGGUGGUGGGGUAAGUCGGAUGUGAAAUUCCUGGGCUUAACCUGGGGGCUGCAUUUGAUACGUGUGGGCUUGAGUGGGGAAGAGGGUCGUGGAAUUCCCAGUGUAGAGGUGAAAUUCGUAGAUAUUAGGAAGAACACCGGUGGCGAAGGCGGCUCUCUGGAACGGUACUGACGCUGAGACGCGAAAGCGUGGGGAGCGAACAGG